Molecule: transfer RNA, 61 nt
Filed under: Gynaikothrips ficorum
Lineage: Eukaryota; Metazoa; Arthropoda; Insecta; Thysanoptera; Phlaeothripidae
Description: tRNA-His
Source: RNAcentral
AUCUUAUUAGUUUAUAAAAAAUAUUAAUUUGUGGUAUUAAAGAAAAAAUUUUUAUAAGAUU